AGCCAGACUCCUACGGGAGGCAGCAGUGGGGAAUAUUGCACAAUGGGGGAAACCCUGAUGCAGCGACGCCGCGUGAGCGAUGAAGUAUUUCGGUAUGUAAAGCUCUAUCAGCAGGGAAGAAAAUGACGGUACCUGACUAAGAAGCCCCGGCUAACUGCGUGCCAGCAGCCGCGGUAAUACGUAGGGGGCAAGCGUUAUCCGGAUUUACUGGGUGUAAAGGGAGCGUAGACGGCUGUGCAAGCCAGAUGUGAAAGCCCGGGGCUCAACCCCGGGACUGCAUUUGGAACUGUGUGGCUGGAGUGUCGGAGAGGCAGGCGGAAUUCCUAGUGUAGCGGUGAAAUGCGUAGAUAUUAGGAGGAACACCAGUGGCGAAGGCGGCCUGCUGGACGAUGACUGACGUUGAGGCUCGAAAGCGUGGGGAGCAAACAGGAUUAGAUACCCCCGUAAC
Molecule: ribosomal RNA, 448 nt
Filed under: uncultured bacterium
Lineage: Bacteria
Description: bacterial SSU rRNA
Rfam family: Bacterial small subunit ribosomal RNA
Source: RNAcentral